GAUCAUGGCUCAGAGUGAACGCUGGCGGCAGGCCUAAUACAUGCAAGUCGAAUGGCAGCACAGCAGAGCUUGCUCUGUGGGUGGCGAGUGGCGGACGGGUGAGGAAUACAUGGGAAUCUGCCCAGUCGUGGGGGAUAACGUAGGGAAACUUACGCUAAUACCGCAUGCGCCCUUCGGGGGAAAGCCGGGGACCUUCGGGCCUGGCGCGAUUGGAUGAGCCCAUGUCGGAUUAGCUAGUUGGCGGGGUAAUGGCCCACCAAGGCGACGAUCCGUAGCUGGUCUGAGAGGAUGAUCAGCCACACUGGAACUGAGACACGGUCCAGACUCCUACGGGAGGCAGCAGUAGGGAAUAUUGGACAAUGGGCGCAAGCCUGAUCCAGCCAUGCCGCGUGAGUGAAGAAGGCCCUCGGGUUGUAAAGCUCUUUUGUCCGGAAAGAAAAGCGCCGGGUUAAUACCCUGGUGUCCUGACGGUACCGGAAGAAUAAGCACCGGCUAACUUCGUG
RNAcentral lists this ribosomal RNA (503 nucleotides) under uncultured bacterium. RNAcentral's name for it is "bacterial SSU rRNA". It matches the Rfam family "Bacterial small subunit ribosomal RNA", at positions 15 to 507 of the family's 1533-position model. The record is from RNAcentral.